UACAGACGCUGUUUGACGCGGGGAUUCCGGUGCGCGGGGUAAGCCUGUGUACCAGGAGGGGAACAACCCAGAGAUAGGUUAAGGUCCCCAAGUGUGGAUUAAGUGUAAUCCUCUGAAGGUGGUCUCGAGCCCUAGACAGCCGGGAGGUGAGCUUAGAAGCAGCUACCCUCUAAGAAAAGCGUAACAGCUUACCGGCCGAGGUUUGAGGCGCCCAAAAUGAUCGGGACUCAAAUCCACCACCGAGACCUGUCCGUGCCCGUUACAGGGCAAUCGAGUAGAUUGGCGCUCUAAUUGGAUGGAAGCGGGGGCGAGAGCUCCUGUGGACCGAUUAGUGACGAAAAUCCUGGCCAUAGUAGCAGCGAUAGUCGGGUGAGAACCCCGACGGCCUAAUGGAUAAGGGUUCCUCAGCACUGCUGAUCAGCUGAGGGUUAGCCGGUCCUAAGUCAUACCGCAACUCGACUAUGACGAAAUGGGAAACGGGUUAAUAUUCCCGUGCCACUAUGCAGUGAAAGUUGACGCCCUGGGGUCGAUCACGCCGGGCAUUCGCCCGGUCGAACCGUCCAACUCCGUGGAAGCCGUAAUGGCAGGAAGCGGACGAACGGCGGUAUAGGGAAACGUGAUUCAACCUGGGGCCCAUGAAAAGACGAGCAUAGUGUCCGUACCGAGAACCGACACAGGUGUCCAUGGCGGCGAAAGCCAAGGCCUGUCGGGAGCAACCAACGUUAGGGAAUUCGGCAAGUUAGUCCCGUACCUUCGGAAGAAGGGAUGCCUGCUCCGGAACGGAGCAGGUCGCAGUGACUCGGAAGCUCGGACUGUCUAGUAACAACAUAGGUGACCGCAAAUCCGCAAGGACUCGUACGGUCACUGAAUCCUGCCCAGUGCAGGUAUCUGAACACCUCGUACAAGAGGACGAAGGACCUGUCAACGGCGGGGGUAACUAUGACCCUCUUAAGGUAGCGUAGUACCUUGCCGCAUCAGUAGCGGCUUGCAUGAAUGGAUUAACCAGAGCUUCACUGUCCCAACGUUGGGCCCGGUGAACUGUACAUUCCAGUGCGGAGUCUGGAGACACCCAGGGGGAAGCGAAGACCCUAUGGAGCUUUACUGCAGGCUGUCGCUGAGACGUGGUCGCCGAUGUGCAGCAUAGGUAGGAGACAUUACACAGGUACCCGCGCUAGCGGGCCACCGAGUCAACAGUGAAAUACUACCCGUCGGUGACUGCGACUCUCACUCCGGGAGGAGGACACCGAUAGCCGGGCAGUUUGACUGGGGCGGUACGCGCUCGAAAAGAUAUCGAGCGCGCCCUAUGGCUAUCUCAGCCGGGACAGAGACCCGGCGAAGAGUGCAAGAGCAAAAGAUAGCUUGACAGUGUUCUUCCCAACGAGGAACGCUGACGCGAAAGCGUGGUCUAGCGAACCAAUUAGCCUGCUUGAUGCGGGCAAUUGAUGACAGAAAAGCUACCCUAGGGAUAACAGAGUCGUCACUCGCAAGAGCACAUAUCGACCGAGUGGCUUGCUACCUCGAUGUCGGUUCCCUCCAUCCUGCCCGUGCAGAAGCGGGCAAGGGUGAGGUUGUUCGCCUAUUAAAGGAGGUCGUGAGCUGGGUUUAGACCGUCGUGAGACAGGUCGGCUGCUAUCUACUGGGUGUGUAAUGGUGUCUGACAAGAACGACCGUAUAGUACGAGAGGAACUACGGUUGGUGGCCACUGGUGUACCGGUUGUUCGAGAGAGCACGUGCCGGGUAGCCACGCCACACGGGGUAAGAGCUGAACGCAUCUAAGCUCGAAACCCACUUGGAAAAGAGACACCGCUGAGGUCCCGCGUACAAGACGCGGUCGAUAGACUCGGGGUGUGCGCGUCGAGGUAACGAGACGUUAAGCCCACGAGCACUAACAGACCAAAGCCAUCAU
RNAcentral lists this ribosomal RNA (1906 nucleotides) under Haloarcula japonica DSM 6131. Its description in RNAcentral is "bacterial LSU rRNA". It matches the Rfam family "Archaeal large subunit ribosomal RNA", at positions 1043 to 2987 of the family's 2987-position model. Lineage: Archaea; Methanobacteriati; Methanobacteriota; Halobacteria; Halobacteriales; Haloarculaceae. The record is from RNAcentral.